Molecule: ribosomal RNA, 303 nt
Filed under: uncultured bacterium
Lineage: Bacteria
Description: partial 16S ribosomal RNA
Rfam family: Bacterial small subunit ribosomal RNA
Source: RNAcentral
AGCAGCCGCCGCGGGAAAACGGAGGGUGCAAGCGUUACUCGGAAUCACUGGGCGUAAAGGACGCGUAGGCGGAUUAUCAAGUCUCUUGUGAAAUCUAACGGCUUAACCGUUAAACUGCUUGGGAAACUGAUAAUCUAGAGUAAGGGAGAGGCAGAUGGAAUUCUUGGUGUAGGGGUAAAAUCCGUAGAUAUCAAGAAGAAUACCUAUUGCGAAGGCGAUCUGCUGGAACUUAACUGACGCUAAUGCGUGAAAGCGUGGGGAGCAAACAGGAUUAGAUACCCGGUAGUCCCUGUCUCUUAUACA